AGCAGCCGCGGUAAUUCCAGCUCCAAUAGCGUAUAUUAAGUUGUUGCAGUUAAAAAGCUCGUAGUUGAAUUUCGGGAUUAAUUUACUGGUCGUGCUAUUGUACGUACUGGUUUUAUUGAUUCCUCCCUUCUGACGAACUAUGAUGUCAUUAAUUUGGUGUCAUAGGAGAUCAGGACUGUUACUUUGAAAAAUUAGAGUGUUUAAAGCAGGCUCACGCUUGAAUACAUUAGCAUGGAAUAACGGAAUAGGACGUUUGAUUCUAUUUUGUUGGUUUCUAGGAUCGACGUAAUGAUUAAUAGGGAUAGUUGGGGGCAUUAGCAUUCAAUUGUCAGAGGUGAAAUUCUUGGAUUUAUUGAAGACUAACUACUGCGAAAGCAUUUGCCAAGGAUGUUUUCAUUAAUAAAG
This 405-nucleotide small RNA is filed under the name uncultured Glomus. RNAcentral's name for it is "SSU rRNA". It matches the Rfam family "Eukaryotic small subunit ribosomal RNA", at positions 569 to 981 of the family's 1831-position model. Lineage: Eukaryota; Fungi; Glomeromycota; Glomeromycetes; Glomerales; Glomeraceae. The record is from RNAcentral.